UACGUAGGGGGGCAAGCGUUGUCCGGAUUCAUUGGGCGUAAAGAGCGUGUAGGCGGCCAGGUAGGUCGGUUGUGAAAACUGGAGGCUCAACCUUCAGAGGUCGACCGAAACCAUCUGGCUAGAGUCCGGGAGAGGAGAGUGGAAUUCCUGGUGUAGCGGUGAAAUGCGUAGAUAUCGAGAGGAACACCUGCGGCGAAGGCGGGUUGCUGGGCUGACACUGACGCUGAGGCGCGAAAGCUAGGGGAGCGAACGGG
RNAcentral lists this ribosomal RNA (254 nucleotides) under uncultured bacterium. RNAcentral describes it as "partial 16S ribosomal RNA". It matches the Rfam family "Bacterial small subunit ribosomal RNA", at positions 524 to 776 of the family's 1533-position model. The record is from RNAcentral.